CACAGACAUGCUCCCUAAUACCUUAGAUAUAAUUCACUGGCUUUUGUAGAUUUGUGAGAGUAGGAACCCUAUUCAAAUCAGAGUUCCAAACCUUACUUGCUCUGUGAUCAUAGAUUCCAUGUCCAAUAGAUGAGGUGGGUGUUCAGAUCCAGGAGGAGUGGAGUGAAUUUUUCCAGCCCUCAUAUCCACUGUCCUGCUAUCUCCUCAGCUUUGGAGAUAGUUCUUGCAGUUGAGUCCUGAUGCUAACGAGAGGAUGGCCCUAUGAAAACUAUGUGCUGAGUGGGGUUAAAAUGGUCCCUAUAUAACAUUUCUCAGUUUCUGAAUAAAGUAUCCUGGAAGACACUGAAAAAUAUGGGAACUAUGAUUGACAGUUAAUCUACUGCUUGAGAUUGAGAGAACUUUUCCCAAACUACUCGGCUGAAGAACUGAACUGAAAAAGCCAGUCAGCAGCUGCCUGUGCUUGGAAAUGAACUAAGACUACCUUCCUAAAAGUGAGUCUCCAACUAUUGUUCUAUCAAGGCCUGCAUUGAGAAAAGGAUUAGACAAAGACCACUGGCACCAUAAUGUUAAACACUGAAGAGAACUUUGACAAAUACGAACCCAUCUGAAACUCAAAACAGACUCGAGGAAGGGAGAGCUUUGUAUUCCUACUCAUCUAAACAGAUGAAUCAGCUGGACCCUGAGGAGGAGAAUAUGAUUAAUCUAAG
Long non-coding RNA from Canis lupus familiaris (dog), 707 nucleotides. RefSeq lists it as uncharacterized. The transcript is spliced from 4 exons. The record is from RefSeq and is a predicted model, not a curated record. NCBI's taxonomy places the organism in Eukaryota, Metazoa, Chordata, Mammalia, Carnivora, Canidae.